CUGUAUGAAAGUAUGGGGUGCCCUUCCGGGAGCCGCAAGACAGUGCUGCAUGGCUGUCGUCAGCUCGUGUCGUGAGAGUGUUGGGUUAAGUCCCGCAACGAGCGCAACCCUUGUCUUCAGUUGCCAGCACGUAAAGGUGGGAACUCUGAAGAUACUGCCCCGGUUAACGGGGAGGAAGGUGGGGAUGACGUCAAGUCCUCAUGGCCCUUAUGCCCAGGGCUACACACGUGCUACAAUGGCAUAUACAAAGGGUCGCGAUACCGCGAGGUGGAGCCAAUCCCAUAAAGUAUGCCACAGUUCGGAUUGGAGUCUGCAACUCGACUCCAUGAAGUUGGAAUCGCUAGUAAUCGCAGAUCAGCAUGCUGCGGUGAAUACGUUCCCGGGCCUU
This 388-nucleotide ribosomal RNA is filed under the name uncultured Desulfobotulus sp. RNAcentral describes it as "bacterial SSU rRNA". It matches the Rfam family "Bacterial small subunit ribosomal RNA", at positions 997 to 1382 of the family's 1533-position model. Lineage: Bacteria; Pseudomonadati; Thermodesulfobacteriota; Desulfobacteria; Desulfobacterales; Desulfobacteraceae. The record is from RNAcentral.